Molecule: long non-coding RNA, 696 nt
Organism: Amphimedon queenslandica
Lineage: Eukaryota; Metazoa; Porifera; Demospongiae; Haplosclerida; Niphatidae
Exons: 2
Source: RefSeq, a predicted model, not a curated record
UAUUUGCGUUACGUCUUGUUUGUGAACGGAAAACUACGAAAAUUAAAUUAGUAUACUAUUAUUGAUAAAUUUGGACCACGUGGGCAAAAUUAAUCUAGAGGGUGUGGUCAAAAAGAGCAAGAUGGCGGAAAUUUUAACGUAACAAACUCAGAUUGAGUUUCUAACAGUUAGAUAAGAGAGAGGGGCUGUCUAAAGCAUUUCUAAAGGCUGAAGAACUUAAAAGCAGUUUGAUCUAAGACUCCUCUAGAUUAGUCCUCUCAUUGACAGAAUUAAAAUUGUGAGAGAAGCUUGAUUAGAAGUCAUUUUGGUCAGUGGUGUUAAAUAGUGGGUUUGCUUUGUUCAGACCCCGCCGGACUAUGAGGAUGGGGUCUGAAUAUGCAUGCACGUUAAGAGCUGGAUUGAUUUUAUUUCAGUAGUUUUAUUUCAAAAAGAUGUUAAUUGAUGGAAGCUUGAUUAAAAGUUUAGCUUGGCACAUUUUUUAAAGGUGACAGGAUAGUUCAUCCUUAUCUCUUUUACUGGGUUAUUUUGGUUGUGUUAACUGGUGUGUUUGCUCUGUUCAGACUUCAGACCCCGGCCAUGAGGCCGGGGUCUGAAUAUGCAUGCAGGCUAAGAGCUGGAUUUAUUAUAAUUUUAAUCUUCUUAUCAAACAAUGUGAAUUGAUGGCUCGCCCCCUCAAUGUUUACAUUCACCUAGUUU